RNAcentral lists this ribosomal RNA (425 nucleotides) under uncultured bacterium. RNAcentral's name for it is "SSU rRNA". It matches the Rfam family "Bacterial small subunit ribosomal RNA", at positions 369 to 808 of the family's 1533-position model. The record is from RNAcentral.
CAAUGGGGGAAACCCUGAAUGCAGCGACGCCGCGUGAGUGAAGAAGUAUCUCCGUAUGUAAAGCUCUAUCAGCAGGGNAAGAAAAUGACGGUACCUGCACUAAGAAGCCCCGGCUAACUACGUACCAGCAGCCGCGGUAAUACGUAGGGGGCAAGCGUUAUCCGGAAUUACUGGGUGUAAAGGGUGCGUAGGUGGUAUGGCAAGUCAGAAGUGAAAACCCAGGGCUUAACUCUGGGACUGCUUUUGAAACUGUCAGACUAGAGUGCAGGAGAGGUAAGCGGAAUUCCUAGUGUAGCGGUGAAAUGCGUAGAUAUUAGGAGGAACAUCAGUGGCGAAGGCGGCUUACUGGACUGAAACUGACACUGAGGCACGAAAGCGUGGGGAGCAAACAGGAUUAGAUACCCUGGUAGUCCAAGGGCGAAUUC